GUUAUUUAAAACCUUUAUUAAGGCUUGGAGAAAGAUAAUGCAAUGUGACAAAGUACAGAUCCUGCUGCCUAAAUCCCUAACAGAAACAGAUCUUAUAACUUAUCACGGUGCCGAUGCUGAGAUCACACGAGGGCUGCUCUUCGUUAGGAAAACGGGCCCUGGAAGCGUUGUUUGUCCAUGUUAUUCUAAACGAAGCCUUUUCCUAGGUUCGAGCUGAAAUUUCUGUGUGUGUGUCUGUGUGUGAAAGUACAGCUACAGCUCUGGGCUAGCAUUUUCUAUUUAUUUAGUUUUGAGUGUCAGCAUUUCACUCUACUAAGGCCUCUCAUUUCAGAAUAACAGGGCUAUUUAUUGAUACAAAGGAGAGGUGUUCGGAUCAUCUUGUUAAGAUGCAAGGCUCAAAAUAAACAUCAUAUCUUUAUUUGGAAAUCCACAUCCUUCCUCAAAGGAAGGCUCAGGAGUAAAUUUGUAUGAAGUACGAAGCCCCAAGUGGAGGGUCUAAUUUUAAGGACGACUUUGCUUACAUUUUAGACUGUACAAAUGCCUCUGUCCAUGCUUACAGGAAUUUGGAUUUUCCCCAGUUUU
This 582-nucleotide long non-coding RNA is filed under the name Bos taurus (domestic cattle). RNAcentral describes it as "long non-coding RNA NONBTAT012108". The record is from RNAcentral. Lineage: Eukaryota; Metazoa; Chordata; Mammalia; Artiodactyla; Bovidae.